GACGAACGCUGGCGGCGCGCCUAACACAUGCCAGUCGAACGAGCGAGCGAGAGCUUGCUUUCUUGAGCGAGUGGCGAACGGGUGAGUAACGCGUGAGGAACCUGCCUCAAAGAGGGGGACAACAGUUGGAAACGACUGCUAAUACCGCAUAAGCCCACGGUGCCGCAUGGCACAGAGGGAAAAGGAGCAAUCCGCUUUGAGAUGGCCUCGCGUCCGAUUAGCUAGUUGGUGAGGUAACGGCCCACCAAGGCGACGAUCGGUAGCCGGACUGAGAGGUUGAACGGCCACAGUGGGACUGAGACACGGCCCAGACUCCUACGGGAGGCAGCAGUGGGGAAUAUUGCACAAUGGGGGAAACCCUGAUGCAGCGACGCCGCGUGGAGGAAGAAGGUCUUCGGAUUGUAAACUCCUGUUGUUGGGGAAGAUAAUGACGGUACCCAACAAGGAAGUGACGGCUAACUACGUG
RNAcentral lists this ribosomal RNA (466 nucleotides) under uncultured bacterium. RNAcentral's name for it is "partial 16S ribosomal RNA". It matches the Rfam family "Bacterial small subunit ribosomal RNA", at positions 28 to 507 of the family's 1533-position model. The record is from RNAcentral.